UAUUAUCUUACAGCCUAGCGGCCUAAUUUUACAGCUGGUCGACGUUCGUCCAGUUCAAUGACUAAAGGUUGCUAUCAACAAACCGUCAAUUCAGUGUCUUGCCUCUGGUUUGAGUCAUCGGUAAUAAAAAAUGGCAUUGUUGCCGAUGGUUAGGUGUGUUCGUGUUAAAUUACCGCCUUGUCCAAACAAAGAAAUCGGCAUGAUUUUGUGUGUUGUUUGUCGUAGGAAAAACGCAGGGAGGUGAAGUUUACGAUGUACUAACUGUUAUUAAAAGUUAACAACAACAAAACGAUUUCAGGUUCGCACUUUAGCGUGGAAACGCAUGAUUGAAGCAUGCGAAUGUUACUUUACAGGCAGUGGCAGCAAGAACGGCGACGAAACAGUUUACCACGACACCCAUGUAACUGCCCAUACGCUAGUACCAUCCUGCCCCCGGCAGUCCGCAUGAACACCCAGCGCGUCCCUCCAUCCUUCGAGUUAGUCCAUACAUGAAGCGACCAACCGCAGUUUUUCUCACUUUGUUUCAUCCAACAGCCAACAUACUUCUUUGCCUUCAUCUCGUCCUUCUGCUGCUUCGUUUUAUGCCGAACGACCAAUAAAACCUUGUUCCUUUUUAUUCGCACAUUUAGCACACCCUAAUAUAGGUUUACUGCGUGUCUAUGUGCGUACUUUGUCCACGCUGCCCGAUGCUGUACCCCAUGCUGCGUGUGUAUGGCACCCAAUCAUCAAUAUAUCGCCAUCGGUCUGAAAUCGUUACGCAACUGGCGAAUAGAAGAAAUGGACGACAACAUGACGAGGCAAUGAAGGGAAUGCUUGCGACGCGAUUAUAUCCGGAGGUAGCGACAUGCGUCUAGGGGAAGAGAGGAGAGCGGCUAGAGAACUGCCGGGCUGAUUUAUGAGGCGAGGCACAACUAGCGCUUUGAAAAAUUGGACCCAAAGGGAGGAACGGCAGCUGCCGAUAGAAUAUUCAAACGAGUGCUUGCUGACGAUACCGAGAUAUCAUCUCUCGACUCGCCGCGGUCGGGACCUGCCCAGAUUAUAGAGAUCGUUGUGUUCGUUCAUCUCAAGUUCAGCGCCAUUGAGAUGCUGUCCAUAAUCGGAGAAACAGCUACCCAGUGAAUGUAACACUACAGCGUUUGAGGAGUUUGCCUCCUGGAGCUUGACGAUCGAGUUCUUGAUCCAUGCGCUCGCCACCGAGCUGGCUAGUGACUCCCCAAUAGUUCCUCUGUGUAUAUCAUAGAUACAUAAAAUCUAUAUUUAUGUAUUAGGAUGUUACA
Varroa destructor (honeybee mite) is the source of this 1277-nucleotide long non-coding RNA. NCBI's taxonomy places the organism in Eukaryota, Metazoa, Arthropoda, Arachnida, Mesostigmata, Varroidae. The record is from RefSeq and is a predicted model, not a curated record.